This 1129-nucleotide long non-coding RNA is filed under the name Marmota monax (woodchuck). The record is from RNAcentral. Lineage: Eukaryota; Metazoa; Chordata; Mammalia; Rodentia; Sciuridae.
CUUUUCUAACUUCGGUAAGGUGAAUCUUGGUGCUAUAAACAUAGCUCCGUGUACCUUGCUGUAGCAUGCUGACUUCAGUUCUUUUGGAUAAAUACCAAGGAAUGGGAUAGCUGUGUCAUGUGGCAUUUCUGUUACCUUUCACCCCAUCAUCCCCCCUCAAGCAAGCCCUGUAAUUCUUCUGAAAGCUACAGAUUCAGCAGGUGAAUUAACAAGCACAUGUGUUAACUAGUUUUUACUCUAUAUUCUACAUGAAGGAAAGCUUAUUCCACAUACUGGAGUGUAUUUUUGAACUUGCUUCUUUACCAACAUAUCUAGGCGAACUUUCCAGAACAACACUAAAUUGUUUCCCUAGAAGAUUUUAGUACUAUAUAGAUGAGAAUUUUGAGGCUCAAUAAAGGCAAAGAAAUGUGUUCUGAGAUCAUCCAACCAGGAAGUACCAGGAGCUGGAACAAGGCUCUUCAGAGCUUCCCUUGUCACCAGCUGCCACCCAGCAUUGAAAGGUAAAGUUUCUGUGGACAAUUGAUUUUGGUCUUGCUCUUGACUGUCCCCUCUCCCCUCACCAGCCUCUCCCCGUCACCUGCAUCCAGGCCACACAUGCAGACAGCCAGCAGCACCCAGACCACCAGGUGCCUCAUCGCCUCUGAUAGCCCUCAGAGGACAUGCACCUGGGCGAGCCUCACCUCCGAGUUUAUACUCUGCCUUUCUGCUCCUCCUCCUCUGGUCACUCUCACCCCUACCCUGCCACAUUUUCUUCCUUGUCCUGAAUCUCAGGGUGCUUAAAAAUCAGGAACCACUCACGUUAGGCUAUUCUACAGCUGCAUCCUGAAAGCUGAUCCCUGGAUCAGCACUGUCACCCUGGGUGGGGAGGGAUGUUAACAAUUCAGAGCCUCAGCCCCUCCUUGCACCUGCUGAACCUGGCGGAGCAGCCUGGGUUCAGCAAGCCCUCCAGGGGUCUGCUGUUGGCUUAAGUUGGAAACCACUGUUUUAGAGGGUGCUACUACGUCCACAUUCCUUCCUUUCAUAUUCUCCCUUGAUGAUUCCUACUUUUAAAAAAUGAUAGCCUACACCUGUAAUCCCAGCAGCUCAGGAGGCUGAGGCAGGAGGAUCAGGAGUUCAAAGCCAGCCUCAG